RNAcentral lists this ribosomal RNA (301 nucleotides) under uncultured bacterium. RNAcentral describes it as "partial 16S ribosomal RNA". It matches the Rfam family "Bacterial small subunit ribosomal RNA", at positions 509 to 807 of the family's 1533-position model. The record is from RNAcentral.
CAGUCGCCGCGGUAAUACGGAGGAUGCGAGCGUUAUUCGGAGUCAUUGGGUUUAAAGGGUCUGUAGGCGGGCUAUUAAGUCAGGGGUGAAAGGUUUCAGCUUAACUGAGAAAUUGCCUUUGAUACUGGUAGUCUUGAAUAUCUGUGAAGUUCUUGGAAUGUGUAGUGUAGCGGUGAAAUGCUUAGAUAUUACACAGAACACCGAUUGCGAAGGCAGGGGACUAACAGACAAUUGACGCUGAGAGACGAAAGCGUGGGGAGCGAACAGGAUUAGAUACCCCCGUAGUCCCUGUCUCUUAUAC